AGAGUUUGAUCAUGGCUCAGGAUGAACGCUAGCUACAGGCUUAACACAUGCAAGUCGAGGGGCAGCAUGGUCUUAGCUUGCUAAGGCCGAUGGCGACCGGCGCACGGGUGAGUAACACGUAUCCAACCUGCCGUCUACUCUUGGACAGCCUUCUGAAAGGAAGAUUAAUACAAGAUGGCAUCAUGAGUCCGCAUGUUCACAUGAUUAAAGGUAUCCCGGUAGACGAUGGGGAUGCGUUCCAUUAGAUAGUAGGCGGGGUAACGGCCCACCUAGUCUUCGAUGGAUAGGGGUUCUGAGAGGAAGGUCCCCCACAUUGGAACUGAGACACGGUCCAAACUCCUACGGGAGGCAGCAGUGAGGAAUAUUGGUCAAUGGGCGAGAGCCUGAACCAGCCAAGUAGCGUGAAGGAUGACUGCCCUAUGGGUUGUAAACUUCUUUUAUAAAGGAAUAAAGUCGGGUAUGCAUACCCGCUUGCAUGUACUUUAUGAAUAAGGAUCGGCUAACUCCGUGCCAGCAGCCGCGGUAAUACGGAGGAUCCGAGCGUUAUCCGGAUUUAUUGGGUUUAAAGGGAGCGUAGAUGGAUGUUUAAGUCAGUUGUGAAAGUUUGCGGCUCAACCGUAAAAUUGCAGUUGAUACUGGAUAUCUUGAGUGCAGUUGAGGCAGGCGGAAUUCGUGGUGUAGCGGUGAAAUGCUUAGAUAUCACGAAGAACUCCGAUUGCGAAGGCAGCCUGCUAAGCUGCAACUGACAUUGAGGCUCGAAAGUGUGGGUAUCAAACAGGAUUAGAUACCCUGGUAGUCCACACGGUAAACGAUGAAUACUCGCUGUUUGCGAUAUACAGCAAGCGGCCAAGCGAAAGCGUUAAGUAUUCCACCUGGGGAGUACGCCGGCAACGGUGAAACUCAAAGGAAUUGACGGGGGCCCGCACAAGCGGAGGAACAUGUGGUUUAAUUCGAUGAUACGCGAGGAACCUUACCCGGGCUUAAAUUGCAGAUGAAUUACGGUGAAAGCCGUAAGCCGCAAGGCAUCUGUGAAGGUGCUGCAUGGUUGUCGUCAGCUCGUGCCGUGAGGUGUCGGCUUAAGUGCCAUAACGAGCGCAACCCUUGUUGUCAGUUACUAACAGGUCAUGCUGAGGACUCUGACAAGACUGCCAUCGUAAGAUGUGAGGAAGGUGGGGAUGACGUCAAAUCAGCACGGCCCUUACGUCCGGGGCUACACACGUGUUACAAUGGGGGGUACAGAGGGCCGCUACCACGCGAGUGGAUGCCAAUCCCCAAAACCUCUCUCAGUUCGGACUGGAGUCUGCAACCCGACUCCACGAAGCUGGAUUCGCUAGUAAUCGCGCAUCAGCCACGGCGCGGUGAAUACGUUCCCGGGCCUUGUACACACCGCCCGUCAAGCCAUGGGAGCCGGGGGUACCUGAAGUGCGUAACCGCGAGGAGCGCCCUAGGGUAAAGCUGGUGACUGGGGCUAAGUCGUAACAAGGUA
This 1486-nucleotide ribosomal RNA is filed under the name metagenome. Its description in RNAcentral is "bacterial SSU rRNA". It matches the Rfam family "Bacterial small subunit ribosomal RNA". The record is from RNAcentral.